This 397-nucleotide ribosomal RNA is filed under the name uncultured bacterium. RNAcentral describes it as "partial 16S ribosomal RNA". It matches the Rfam family "Bacterial small subunit ribosomal RNA", at positions 523 to 918 of the family's 1533-position model. The record is from RNAcentral.
AUACGUAGGGGGCGAGCGUUGUCCGGAAUGAUUGGGCGUAAAGGGCGCGUAGGCGGCCCGGUAAGUCUGGAGUGAAAGUCCUGUUUUUAAGAUGGGAAUUGCUUUGGAUACUGUCGGGCUUGAGUGCAGGAGAGGUAAGUGGAAUUCCAAGUGUAGCGGUGAAAUGCGUAGAGAUUGGGAGGAACACGAGUGGCGAAGGCGACUUACUGGACUGUAACUGACGCUGAGGCGCGAAAGUGUGGGGAGCAAACAGGAUUAGAUACCCUGGUAGUCCACACUGUAAACGAUGAAUGCUAGGUGUAGGGGGUAUCGACCCCUUCUGUGCCGCAGUCAACACAAUAAGCAUUCCGCCUGGGGAGUACGGCCGCAAGGUUGAAACUCAAAGGAAUUGACGGGG